CGUAGAGAAAUCGAGUCUUAAUAGGGCGUUUAGUUGCUGGGUAUAGACCCGAAACCAGGCGAUCUAUCCAUGAGCAGGUUGAAGGUUGGGUAACACUAACUGGAGGACCGAACCCACUGUCGUUGAAAAGCCAGGGGAUGACUUGUGGAUAGGGGUGAAAGGCUAAUCAAGCCUGGUGAUAGCUGGUUCUCCCCGAAAGCUAUUUAGGUAGCGCCUCGGACGAAUACCAUAGGGGGUAGAGCACUGUUUCGGCUAGGGGGUCAUCCCGACUUACCAAACCGAUGCAAACUCCGAAUACCUAUGAGUACUAUCCGGGAGACAGACUGCGGGUGCUAACGUCCGUAGUC
RNAcentral lists this ribosomal RNA (347 nucleotides) under Acinetobacter baumannii. Its description in RNAcentral is "partial 23S ribosomal RNA". It matches the Rfam family "Bacterial large subunit ribosomal RNA", at positions 667 to 1012 of the family's 2925-position model. Lineage: Bacteria; Pseudomonadati; Pseudomonadota; Gammaproteobacteria; Moraxellales; Moraxellaceae. The record is from RNAcentral.